RNAcentral lists this long non-coding RNA (266 nucleotides) under Lathyrus oleraceus (garden pea). Its description in RNAcentral is "Pisum sativum (pea) long non-coding RNA (PSAT_LNC035547)". Lineage: Eukaryota; Viridiplantae; Streptophyta; Magnoliopsida; Fabales; Fabaceae. The record is from RNAcentral.
CAGUGCAUAGUCAACUAAGGCCCUUAGUCAAUCGAUUAAAUUAAAGUUUAAAUCUUCCUAAUCGAUUAAGAACACUUCUAUUCGAUUAAUACACUAGCCAUUGUAGGGUUUCCUUUUUGGAAAUUAGGGAUUUUGUUUUUAUGAAGCACAUAAUCGAUUAAACCAAUGGUAUAGUAAAUUAUGAGCAUUAAAAAGCCCAUAGAGAGUUUUCCUUUUGGGGCCAUAUUUCUCACCUAUAAAUAAAGGUAUUCCCUCACUUAUAAAUU